Molecule: ribosomal RNA, 354 nt
Filed under: Triticum aestivum (bread wheat)
Lineage: Eukaryota; Viridiplantae; Streptophyta; Magnoliopsida; Poales; Poaceae
Description: partial small subunit ribosomal RNA
Source: RNAcentral
AUGAUGGAUAGGCCAACUACUUCUUCUAAUCCACUCUUCAUUGAGCAAGAUGAGGACCCAAACAUCUAUGUUACCAAGAACCACCUCUUCGGCGCACAAAGAGCUUUGCAUCAAGAGAAUGAAGCAUUGGGCGACUACAUCGACCUACUUGCUACUGACUUGCGGCAAUCCGAGCAACGUACAAGAGACUACUUCGACAACAAGCUCGCCACACAAAAGGAGGAUAACAAUGCAAGGAUGGCAAGUCCCCCUAAGGCUCGUUCGCAUCGUCGCCAAGACAAUGAAGAUCAUCAAGCUCCACAAAACCCAUUUCAUGGCAAUGGUUUACAAGGCCGCCUCCAAGAACGUGAAUGA